This 313-nucleotide ribosomal RNA is filed under the name uncultured eukaryote. RNAcentral's name for it is "partial 18S ribosomal RNA". It matches the Rfam family "Eukaryotic small subunit ribosomal RNA", at positions 1470 to 1796 of the family's 1831-position model. The record is from RNAcentral.
CCCUUAGAUGUUCUGGGCCGCACGCGCGCUACACUGACGGAGCCAACGAGUACUUUCCUUGUCCGGAAGGACUGGGUAAUCUUGUGAAACUUCGUCGUGCUGGGGAUAGAGCAUUGCAAUUAUUGCUCUUCAACGAGGAAUUCCUAGUAAGCGUGAGUCAUCAGCUCGCGUUGAUUACGUCCCUGCCCUUUGUACACACCGCCCGUCGCUCCUACCGAUGGAUCGUCCGGUUAAGCUCAUGGAGGGGCGGUUGUCUCAGCUGCCGUCGAAGUGAAAUGGACCUCACGAUCUAGAGGAAGGAGAAGUCGUAACA